RNAcentral lists this ribosomal RNA (509 nucleotides) under uncultured bacterium. Its description in RNAcentral is "bacterial SSU rRNA". It matches the Rfam family "Bacterial small subunit ribosomal RNA", at positions 28 to 526 of the family's 1533-position model. The record is from RNAcentral.
GAUGAACGCUAGCGACAGGCUUAACACAUGCAAGUCGAGGGGCAGCGGAGUUGUAGCAAUACAACCGCCGGCGACCGGCGCACGGGUGAGUAACGCGUAUGCAACCUACCUAUCAGAGAGGGAUAGCCCAUUGAAAGAUGGAUUAAUACCUCAUAAAACAGGGGUCCCGCAUGGGAAUAUUUGUUAAAGGAUUAAUUGCUGAUAGAUGGGCAUGCGUUCCAUUAGUUAGUUGGUAGGGUAACGGCUUACCAAGGCAUCGAUGGAUAGGGGUUCUGAGAGGAAGGUCCCCCACACUGGUACUGAGACACGGACCAGACUCCUACGGGAGGCAGCAGUGAGGAAUAUUGGUCAAUGGGCGAGAGCCUGAACCAGCCAAGUCGCGUGAAGGACGACGGCCCUACGGGUUGUAAACUUCUUUUAUAAGGGAAUAAAAAAGAGGACGUGUCCUUUGUUGUAUGUACCUUAUGAAUAAGCAUCGGCUAACUCCGUGCCAGCCGCCGCAGUAACAC